This 22-nucleotide non-coding RNA is filed under the name Arabidopsis thaliana (thale cress). Lineage: Eukaryota; Viridiplantae; Streptophyta; Magnoliopsida; Brassicales; Brassicaceae. The record is from RNAcentral.
UAACUUCUGGUGAUCAUGAAUC